ACUCCUACGGGGAGGCAGCAGUGGGGAAUAUUGCACAAUGGGCGCAAGCCUGAUGCAGCCAUGCCGCGUGUAUGAAGAAGGCCUUAGGGUUGUAAAGUACUUUUCAGCGGGGAGGAAGGUGAUAAGGUUAAUACCCUUAUCAAUUCGACGUUACCCGCAGAAGAAGCACCGGCUAACUCCGUGCCAGCAGCGGCGGUAAUA
This 201-nucleotide ribosomal RNA is filed under the name uncultured Proteus sp. RNAcentral's name for it is "partial 16S ribosomal RNA". It matches the Rfam family "Bacterial small subunit ribosomal RNA", at positions 335 to 525 of the family's 1533-position model. The record is from RNAcentral. Lineage: Bacteria; Pseudomonadati; Pseudomonadota; Gammaproteobacteria; Enterobacterales; Morganellaceae.